This 697-nucleotide long non-coding RNA is filed under the name Monodelphis domestica (gray short-tailed opossum). RNAcentral's name for it is "lncRNA (ENSMODG00000040179.1)". The record is from RNAcentral. Lineage: Eukaryota; Metazoa; Chordata; Mammalia; Didelphimorphia; Didelphidae.
UAAUGGGAAUGACACUAUAGGAAAUAUAUUGCCAUCUGCCCUGCUGCUAUACCCUAAGGACCAUAGGGCCUUUCCAUUUGAUUUGUAGCUGAAUCUUUCCACAUAUAUUCUUUCCCCUAUUAGGAUAAUUUAUCCUUGAGAACAGGGCAUUACUGUUUCACCUUACUGUUUGUAUCUCUAGCAUUGAGCCCAUGUUUUGUUCAUAGUAAGUGCUUAAUAGAUGCUUAAUCCUUCCUUCCCUAUCAGCUCUUGUGCAUUUGAAUCCUUCUGGGAGACCAACUCAGGAUAGAGAAUUAGUUCCAGAUUAUCUCUCUCCCUCCACCCAUUGAGAAGGCAAAAAAAAAAUGCAAAACCAUUACAAAUAUGAAGUCAGGCAAAAACAAAUUAUUCAUGUUCUGAAGAAAAAAAGGAAGGACAGAGGGUAGUAAAGAAGGAAGUAAAAGAGAAAGAAAGAGCAAGCAAAAGCAAGAAAGAAAGAGAAAGAAAAGAACCAUGCGUCUCUCUGCACUCUGAUUCACCAUUUCCCUAUCUGGAGAGAUACCCUGAUGAUUAAUGAGACUUCUUAAAAGGAAGAGAUACUGUCUUUCCCUUUGAAGUGCUGCUUUACAAGAAUAACUUUAAAUAUAAGGCAGUAAAAAUUCUGUUCUCUUUCCUGCCUCUUUCUUCCUCAAACUGGAAUAAAGAAGAGAUUAUUCAU